Cottoperca gobio is the source of this 634-nucleotide non-coding RNA. The record is from the annotation of a RefSeq genome assembly. NCBI's taxonomy places the organism in Eukaryota, Metazoa, Chordata, Actinopteri, Perciformes, Bovichtidae.
UCUGUGUGUUUGCAUACGUGUCCUGCCUCUCUGCUCCCAGCCGUUAAGAGAUCAGAGUUGAUCGGUGGCUGUCCAGGCCUUUCAGAGACACUGACACGCCGGCAGCACAAUGAUGAUGUCACUGAUUCUACUGCUGGUCACCCUGGGGCUCCUUGUUCAGGAUUCAUCAGGAGAUAUCAUCCUGACUCAGUCUCCUGCAUCUCAGUCUGUUGUUCCAGGUCAGACUGUCUCUAUCAGAUGUAAAGCCAGUUCAAGUGUCAGUACAAACCUUCACUGGUACCUCCAGAAACCUGAUGAACCUCCCAAACUCUUGAUUUAUUAUGCUACUAAUCGUCAGUCUGGAGUUUCAGGUCGUUUUAGUGGAAGUGGAUCUGGGACUGCCUUCACUCUGAGCAUCAGUGGAGUUCAGACUGAAGAUGCAGGAGAUUAUUACUGUCAGCAGGGUAACAGUUGGCCGUUGACUUUUGGUGGAGGAACCAGACUGGAUGUUGGAAGUGAUGUCCGUCCCACCCUGAUGGUGCUGCCCCCCUCCGAAGAAGAGCUGCAGCAGGGGAUGGCCACGCUCAUGUGCCUGGCCAACAAGGGCUUCCCCUCAGACUGGAGUCUGGCCUGGAAGGUGGACGCAACUAACUAA